This 273-nucleotide ribosomal RNA is filed under the name uncultured bacterium. Its description in RNAcentral is "partial 16S ribosomal RNA". It matches the Rfam family "Bacterial small subunit ribosomal RNA", at positions 69 to 339 of the family's 1533-position model. The record is from RNAcentral.
UCUUUUCGGAGUGACGUUCAAAGAGGAAAGUGGCGGACGGGCGAGUAACGCGUGAGUAACCUGCCCAUAAGAGGGGGAUAAUCCAUGGAAACGUGGACUAAUACCGCAUAUUGUAGUUAAGUUGCAUGACUUGAUUAUGAAAGAUUUAUCGCUUAUGGAUGGACUCGCGUCAGAUUAGAUAGUUGGUGAGGUAACGGCUCACCAAGUCAACGAUCUGUAGCCGAACUGAGAGGUUGAUCGGCCGCAUUGGGACUGAGACACGGCCCAAACUCC